GACGAACGCUGGCGGCGUGCUUAACACAUGCAAGUCGAACGGAAAGGCCCUGCUUUUGUGGGGUGCUCGAGUGGCGAACGGGUGAGUAACACGUGAGUAACCUGCCCUUGACUUUGGGAUAACUUCAGGAAACUGGGGCUAAUACCGGAUAGGAGCUCCUGCUGCAUGGUGGGGGUUGGAAAGUUUCGGCGGUUGGGGAUGGACUCGCGGCUUAUCAGCUUGUUGGUGGGGUAGUGGCUUACCAAGGCUUUGACGGGUAGCCGGCCUGAGAGGGUGACCGGCCACAUUGGGACUGAGAUACGGCCCAGCCUCCUCCGGGAGGCAGCAGUGGGGAAUAUUGCACAAUGGGCGGAAGCCUGAUGCAGCAACGCCGCGUGCGGGAUGACAGCCUUCGGGUUGUAACCCGCUUUCGCCUGUGACGAAGCGUGAGUGACGGUAAUGGGUAAAGAAGCACCGGCUAACUACGUG
This 468-nucleotide ribosomal RNA is filed under the name uncultured bacterium. RNAcentral describes it as "partial 16S ribosomal RNA". It matches the Rfam family "Bacterial small subunit ribosomal RNA", at positions 28 to 507 of the family's 1533-position model. The record is from RNAcentral.